Molecule: ribosomal RNA, 275 nt
Filed under: uncultured Pseudomonadota bacterium
Lineage: Bacteria; Pseudomonadati; Pseudomonadota
Description: uncultured proteobacterium partial 16S ribosomal RNA
Rfam family: Bacterial small subunit ribosomal RNA
Source: RNAcentral
GGGGGAAAGGUCCGCCGCCUAAAGAGGGGCCCGCGUCAGAUUAGCUUGUUGGUAGGGUAAUGGCUUACCAAGGCUACGAUCUGUAGUUGGUCUGAGAGGAUGAUCAGCCACACUGGGACUGAGACACGGGCCAGACUCCUACGGGAGGCAGCAGUGGGGAAUAUUGGACAAUGGGGGCAACCCUGAUCCAGCAAUGCCGCGUGUGUGAUGAAGGCCCUAGGGUUGUAAAGCACUUUCAACGGUGACGAUGAUGACGGUAACCGUAGAAGAAGCCC